GAGGAAUUUUGCGCAAUGGGGGAAACCCUGACGCAGCAACGCCGCGUGAGUGAAGAAGGCCCUUGGGUCGUAAAGCUCUGUCGACAGGGAAGAAAUUAUUAUACUUUAAUAAAGUAUAGUAUUGACGGUACCU
RNAcentral lists this ribosomal RNA (133 nucleotides) under uncultured bacterium. RNAcentral's name for it is "partial 16S ribosomal RNA". It matches the Rfam family "Bacterial small subunit ribosomal RNA", at positions 356 to 480 of the family's 1533-position model. The record is from RNAcentral.